AUAUCAAUAAGCGGAGGAAAAGAAACUAACAAGGAUUCCCUUAGUAGCGGCGAGCGAAGCGGGAAGAGCUCAAAUUUGAAAGCUGGCGUCCUUCGGGCGUCCGCAUUGUAAUCUAUAGAGGCGUUUUCUGUGCUGGACCGUGUCCAAGUCCCUUGGAACAGGGUAUCAAAGAGGGUGACAAUCCCGUACUUGACACGACAACCAGUGCUCUGUGAUACGCCUUCUACGAGUCGAGUUGUUUGGGAAUGCAGCUCAAAAUGGGUGGUGAAUUCCAUCUAAAGCUAAAUAUUGGCGAGAGACCGAUAGCGAACAAGUACCGUGAGGGAAAGAUGAAAAGAACUUUGAAAAGAGAGUUAAAAAGUACGUGAAAUUGUUGAAAGGGAACCGUUUGAAGCCAGUGUUGCUUGCCUGUGAUCAAUCUUAGCUUUGGCUUGGAUGCACUCUCAGGCUAUGCAGGUCAACGUCAGUUUUUGAGGUGUGAAAAAAGUUUGAGGAAUGUGGCCUUUGGGUGUUAUAGCCUCUUACUAAAUAGCAUCUCUUGGACUGAGGCUCGCAGCAAAAAUGUGGGUUGGUUUGCUCCUGAGUUGAAGCUUUGUCAAGACAGCUUGCUGACUUGGUUUUGUGGAAGUUCACGGUAGACCGGCUUCUAAUUUGCUUAGGUCGUUGACAUAAUGGCUUUAAAUGA
This 685-nucleotide ribosomal RNA is filed under the name uncultured fungus. RNAcentral describes it as "eukaryotic LSU rRNA". It matches the Rfam family "Eukaryotic large subunit ribosomal RNA", at positions 40 to 647 of the family's 3401-position model. The record is from RNAcentral. Lineage: Eukaryota; Fungi.